UACGGAGGGUGCAAGCAUUAAUCGGAUUUAUUGGGCGUAAAGGGCGCGUAGGCGGAGAUACAAGUCAGAUGUGAAAUCCCGGGGCUCAACCUCGGAACUGCAUUUGAAACUGUAUCCCUAGAGGGUAGGCGGAGAAAACGGAAUUCCACAAGUAGCGGUGAAAUGCGUAGAUAUGUGGAAGAACACCGGUGGCGAAGGCGGUUUUCUAGCUUAUUCCUGACGCUGAUGCGCGAAAGCAAGGGGAUCAAACAGG
RNAcentral lists this ribosomal RNA (253 nucleotides) under uncultured bacterium. RNAcentral's name for it is "partial 16S ribosomal RNA". It matches the Rfam family "Bacterial small subunit ribosomal RNA", at positions 524 to 776 of the family's 1533-position model. The record is from RNAcentral.